GACGAACGCUGGCGGCGUGCUUAACACAUGCAAGUCGAACGGUAAGGCCCUUCGGGGUACACGAGUGGCGGACGGGUGAGUAACACGUGGGUGAUCUGCCCUGCACUUCGGGAUAAGACUGGGAAACUGGGUCUAAUACCGGAUAGGACCCUGGGAUGCAUGUCCUGGGGUGGAAAGCUUUUGCGGUGUGGGAUGGGCCCGCGGCCUAUCAGCUUGUUGGUGGGGUGAUGGCCUACCAAGGCGGCGACGGGUAGCCGGCCUGAGAGGGUGACCGGCCACACUGGGACUGAGAUACGGCCCAGACUCCUACGGGAGGCAGCAGUGGGGAAUAUUGCACAAUGGGCGCAAGCCUGAUGCAGCGACGCCGCGUGAGGGAUGACGGCCUUCGGGUUGUAAACCUCUUUCAGCACCGACGAAGCGCAAGUGACGGUAGGUGCAGAAGAAGGACCGGCCAACUACGUGCCAGCCGCCGCAGUAA
This 478-nucleotide ribosomal RNA is filed under the name uncultured bacterium. RNAcentral describes it as "partial 16S ribosomal RNA". It matches the Rfam family "Bacterial small subunit ribosomal RNA", at positions 28 to 523 of the family's 1533-position model. The record is from RNAcentral.